AAGGGCUUAACCAACAUGUAACCAUUGUUUUUCUUGUGCUUUUAUAGUUUUUUUAUUCUGUCAUUAUGCUUAGUUUUUUUUUGUUUCUGAAAUACCAUGAAAUGCCCAUCUUUUUAAAGUUCAAUCUAUGGAGUAGAGAAUUUGGAUUUUACAUGUAGCCAUUGUGAGGGAUAUCCCAUGUGUCCUUUUAAUUCUGCUGGAAACACAUCUCCAUUUUUCCUUUCACGUUUUUCUUUUUCUGAGUAAACACAUCUCCAUUUUUCCUUUCUCUCCAGUACAGAUUUCCUUCACUCUCCAACACAAAUUUCCUUUUCUCUCCAACACAGAUCUGUCUGGCAAAAUACUGAACCGCUAAGGUGAACUGACCUCCUCUAUUAUUUCUAUCACGUUACAAAGAACAAUCCUUGUAAUGGGAUUGAAAUUAAAGAGCAGGUCAGCUUGUUUUAUUAGUGAAACAAGAGUUUUAACAAUGAAUCAUGAGAUUCUUGUUCAAGUUGUGUUUUACUUUAUUUUCUUUCCAUAUUGGUUUUCUUCUCUUGAUUUAAUAUCUCUCUGGCAUUUAGAAAAAGAAAAAGUGAAUGUUAAGAAAACUAUUCACAAAUUAUUAAUACCUUUUAUUUUCUGUUUUCUAUAAUAAUUGUUGAUACCUGGAAUUUUAAAGAAAUAAAAAUUUAAACUUUUAUGCGAAUGGGUUAAUUUUCUUGAAGCUUCUCGGGCUAGGUUUUAUUCCUUUGCAGUUGAUUAGAAUAAUCUUCAUAAAUUGAUGCUCUUCUGUUGUAUUCUUCCAUGCUUUUUUUGCUUCAUUUUAUUUUGUUUUGUGUCAGUUACCACCCAUCAUCUAAUAAACCAUCAUAACAGGUCAGAAUUUGUUUUAUACCAAUAACUUCGUUUCCGUUUUCUGUUUUGAUAUUUUAAUUAAGAUGUUAUAUGCUGCCCAAUAUUUUCUUUAUUAACAUAGAACAGAAGUCCAAUAACAGUGCAAUGUUAAAGGUAUAAAAAGUUAAUCAUGAAGUGGCAACACGAUUAUUACGUAUUUGAAUUUCUCGAAAGUUGGGAUAGACCCUUUCCAAAAGAUAGAGAAUUCUACAUUCUGAUACACUAAAAUACCACAGAAUACAUUCUACACAAUAAUAUAAUCUGUGCCGAAUUUUGAUCAUAAUUUGGAUUAACUGAUAUAGAACUAGUAUUGAUCUUGGCCAGGAGUAUCCCAUUCUUGCUGCUGGAAAAAUAAAUUUUUCUUGGGUACUACUUCUAUGCUUGGCAGGUAUCUCUUGGUGAUGGACAUCAUAUCAAAAUAGAUACCUUUUUCUUAUCUGUUAAGUCGCCCGUAUUUUUCUUAUCUGUUAUGUGGCCAGUAUUGAAGAUUGAUAGAUGUCCAUCACCAUCGCCCAGUAUAUCUCUUAGUCUUCAGGCUGAACACAAAUACUGACGACUUAACAUAUAAGAAAAAGUAUCUCUUGAGACACAGCCCAUUACACUACGGAUUAUCUCCUCCAAGAAUACUACCCGUGUAUUUGCUGCAUCUGAUCGGCCGAUUGUGAUCUAUAGUAGUAACAAGAAAUUUCUUUAUACUAAUGUAAAUAUGAAGGAAGUGAGUCACAUGUGUCCUUUCAAUUCUGCUGCUUUUCCAGACAGGUAUCUUGGUCCUUCAGUUAGUUUGGCUUCCUAAAAUUAUUGACAUAUCUGGCUUGGGCUGGUCUUGUAUCUUGUAUUGUACAUUAAUGUAAAUGUCAUGGUACUCAUUACACACUGUUCAUAAUUUCCAACAGUUUGGCGAUUGGAAAGAAGGUGAGCUUACUAUUGGCACUAUUGAUGACAUACAAAAACUACAUAUACGCUCCAUUCCGCAUCCGCUUGGAGAGCAAGCUUCGUAUAUCUGCCACCAGGAGCAAUCUAGGACUUUUGCUAUUUGUAGUGUGAAAUACAACCCAACGAGUGGUGAAGACUCUGCAUUUACUGGAUGACCAGACUUUUCAUUUGAAAUCAACUUAUUCUCUUGACGCAAAUGAAAAUAGUUGGUUUAUAAUUAGCUGCUCAUUCUCAGAUGAUAAUAAUGUUUAUUACUGUGUUGGAACUGCAUAUGGGUUGUGUUAGGACCCACGAUGAUAAGAUAGUUUGGAUUUAGGACCGAACGGUCAUGGGUGUGGAAGGUUCUGUUGUAGAGAGGAAUGGGUCAGAACUGCUAUAAAUAGAGCUCUUGUAAUGCUGUGAGGGGGAUCGAAUAUACUCUUUGUACAGUCCGGCUUUUAGCUUGGGUAGAGAGGGGUUAUGUCCUCAGUGAGGGAGGUUAUGCUCCCAACCUAUUCUUUGUAUAGAUAGACUUCUUUCACAGUAAAUAAUACAGAAAACUCAUUUUUUCUUUAUGUUUCGAUCUUUUGAGUGAGUUAACCUAACAUCUUGAGAACCAAGAGAAGUAAGUUGAUAAAUUUGUAUUUUUUUUCCCCGCAUUGUUCUAUUAAAAGCUUCUAAUUCCUGCUUACUUUCCCCAUUUUUAAAACAUGUAGGGUAGAAUUCUUGUUUUUACUGUUGAAGAUGGAAAACUACAGCUAAUUGCUGAGAAGGAUACAGAAGGUGUUGUGUAUUGCUUGAAUGCAUUUAAUGGUAAAUUACUUGCUGCUACUAAUAAAAAAAUCCAGCUGUACAAGUGGGUGCUACAUGAUCAUGGAACCCAUGAAUUGCAGUUUGAAUGUGGAAAUCAUGGACACGGCCUAGCUCUUUAUGUGGAAACUAGAGGAUAUUUUAUUGUAGUAGGUGAUCUGUUGAAGUCUAUUUUCUUGUUAAUCUACAAGCAUGAAGGUGUUAUUGAGGAAAUAGCUCGUGACUACAAUGUAAAUUGGAUGUCGGCUGUUGAAAUCCUUGACGAUGACAUUUACCUGGGUGCAGAAAAUAAUUCUAAUCUGUUCACUGUUCGAAAAAAUAGUGAAGAGAAUUUGUUAAUCGGUUCGGCAUGGCUUCGUCCGAAUGCACUUGCCGGAUUCUGAUGCUGGGCAGAUUCCAACAGUUAUCUUUGGUACCAUUAAUGGUGUUAUUGGGGUAAUUACCUCUCUUCCCCACGAGCAAUAUGUUUUCUUGGAGAAACUUCAUUCAAAUUUGAGGAAGGUAAUUAAAGGUUUUGGAGGGCUCAGCCAUAAGGAAUGGAGGUCGUUUAACAAUGAGAAGAAAACUGUUGAAGCCAGAAACUUUUUGGAUCGAGAUUUGAUUGAAUCAUUUCUGGAUCUCAACCGCAGUAGGAUGGAUGAAAUUUCCAAGGCAAUGGAUGUUUCUGUAGAGGAGUUAUGCAAAAGAGUAGGUUUCUUUUUAUGCAUUUGCAUUAUUCUAGUUCCUUUAACCUUUAAGAUCAAAUUAGCUUGUUUUCUUUGAAAAACUGCUACAUAUUAUUUCAGAAGAUACCAGAACGCUUACUUUUGAAUAAGCAAUAACGCUGAGUUGGUAUAUAUAGUAAAGUAGCUUCAUACUUUGGAUUAUAUUCCUGAUGUCCAUACUGAUUUUAAAAGAGAAAUCUCUUCAGGCGAAGGAAAAUGUGUUUAUUCUACAUCUGGGUAUGUAUGAGAUCAUAGCAUAAAUCCUUGUUUGGUCGAAACUGUUGUGGUGUUAGUGGUUUCAUACUUUUGGAUCUGACUAUUGUCGGUGAAACUGGACAAAAGGAAAAUGGAAUUAGAGGAAGGUAGGGAAUGUAGUUUUGGUAGCAUUUUAUAAUUGUGUUUUUGUCGCUAAGGUAUUCUCUAAUUGUGCAAAUAAUCUCUUUUCUGAAGUUUAAUCUGUACAUUAUUCUUAAUAUUUUUUUCCUCUCUUUUUACUGCCUCGAUGACCCUGCUUAGACUGAUUUAAAAAAUGUUUUCGUUAAAAAUAA
This is a long non-coding RNA of Vigna radiata var. radiata (mung bean), 3850 nucleotides long. RefSeq lists it as uncharacterized. Lineage: Eukaryota; Viridiplantae; Streptophyta; Magnoliopsida; Fabales; Fabaceae. The record is from RefSeq and is a predicted model, not a curated record. The transcript is spliced from 3 exons.